AGUUGGAAACGAACUGCUGAUACCGCAUAAGCCCACGGUGCCGCAUGGCACAGAGGGAAAAGGAGCAAUCCGCUUUGAGAUGGCCUCGCGUCCGAUUAGCUAGUUGGUGAGGUAACGGCCCACCAAGGCAACGAUCGGUAGCCGGACUGAGAGGUUGAACGGCCACAUUGGGACUGAGACACGGCCCAGACUCCUACGGGAGGCAGCAUG
This 210-nucleotide ribosomal RNA is filed under the name uncultured bacterium. Its description in RNAcentral is "partial 16S ribosomal RNA". It matches the Rfam family "Bacterial small subunit ribosomal RNA", at positions 148 to 353 of the family's 1533-position model. The record is from RNAcentral.